RNAcentral lists this ribosomal RNA (451 nucleotides) under uncultured bacterium. RNAcentral describes it as "partial 16S ribosomal RNA". It matches the Rfam family "Bacterial small subunit ribosomal RNA", at positions 354 to 796 of the family's 1533-position model. The record is from RNAcentral.
GUGGGGAAUAUUGGACAAUGGGGGGAACCCUGAUCCAGCCAUGCCGCGUGUGUGAAGAAGGCCUUUUGGUUGUAAAGCACUUUAAGUGGGGAGGAGGCUUACCUGGUUAAUACCUGGGCUAAGUGGACGUUACCCACAGAAUAAGCACCGGCUAACUCUGUGCCAGCAGCCGCAGUAAUACAGAGGGUGCGAGCGUUAAUCGGAUUUACUGGGCGUAAAGCGCGCGUAGGUGGUUAAUUAAGUCAAAUGUGAAAUCCCCGAGCUUAACUUGGGAAUUGCAUUCGAUACUGGUUAGCUAGAGUAUGGGAGAGGAUGGUAGAAUUCCAGGUGUAGCGGUGAAAUGCGUAGAGAUCUGGAGGAAUACCGAUGGCGAAGGCAGCCAUCUGGCCUAAUACUGACACUGAGGUGCGAAAGCAUGGGGAGCAAACAGGAUUAGAAACCCCGGUAGUCC